Molecule: ribosomal RNA, 1268 nt
Filed under: Prorocentrum minimum
Lineage: Eukaryota; Dinophyceae; Prorocentrales; Prorocentraceae
Description: bacterial LSU rRNA
Rfam family: Bacterial large subunit ribosomal RNA
Source: RNAcentral
UCUCACCGACUUACCAAACCUAACCAAACUCCGAAUACCGAUGAGUAAUAUCUGGCAGACACACUACGGGUGCUAAGGUCCGUAGUGGAAAGGGAAACAGCCCUGACCGCCAGCUAAGGUCCCUAAGUUAUGGCUAAGUGGGAAAGGAUGUGAGAGUGCAUAGACAACCAGGAUGUUGGCUUAGAAGCAGCCAUCAUUUAAAGAAAGCGUAACAGCUCACUGGUCAAGCGCUCUUGCGCCGAAAAUGUACCGGGGCUAAAGCCAUACACCGAAGCUGCGGAUGCACAUUUAUGUGCGUGGUAGCGGAGCGUUCUGUAAGCCUGUGAAGGGUGACCCGCGAGGGCACUUGGAGGUAUCAGAAGUGAGAAUGCUGACAUGAGUAGCGAUAAAGAGGGUGAGAGACCCUCUCGCCGAAAGACCAAGGGUUCCUGCGUAAAGCUAAUCUGCGCAGGGUUAGUCGGCCCCUAAGGCGAGGGCGAAAGCCGUAGUCGAUGGGAAACAGGUUAAUAUUCCUGUACCUGGAGGUAGUGACGAAUCCCGUGUGUUGUUUACCCUUAUUGGAUUGGGUAGGCCGCGAAGGGGUUCCAGGAAAUAGCUCCUCCAUUAUAGACCGUACCCCAAACCGACACAGGUGGUCUGGUAGAGUAUACCAAGGCGCUUGAGAGAACUAUGUUGAAGGAACUCGGCAAAAUGCUCCCGUAAGUUCGCGAGAAGGGAGACCUCCACUUAGGCAACUAGGUGGGGGUGGCACAGACCAGGGGGUGGCGACUGUUUACUAAAAACACAGGGCUCUGCGAAGUCGCAAGACGACGUAUAGGGUCUGACGCCUGCCCGGUGCUGGAAGGUUAAAUGGAGUGGUGCAAGCUGCGAAAUGAAGCCCCAGUAAACGGCGGCCGUAACUAUAACGGUCCUAAGGUAGCGAAAUUCCUUGUCGGGUAAGUUCCGACCUGCACGAAUGGCGUAACGACUUCCCCGCUGUCUCCAACAUAGACUCAGCGAAAUUGAAUUCCCCGUGAAGAUGCGGGGUUCCUGCGGCUAGACGGAAAGACCCCGUGCACCUUUACUACAGCUUCACAGUGGUGUUAGUGACGGCAUGUGUAGGAUAGGUGGUAGGCUUUGAAACUUGGGCGCCAGCUCAGGUGGAGCCACCCUUGAAAUACCACCCUUAUCUUCAUUGACAUCUAACCGCGGCCCGUUAUCCGGGUCCGGGACCCUGUGUGGUGGGUAGUUUGACUGGGGCGGUCGCCUCCCAAAGAGUAACGGAGGCG